UAAGCGGAGGAAAAGAAACUAACAAGGAUUCCCCUAGUAGCGGCGAGCGAAGCGGGAAGAGCUCAAAUUUAUAAUCUGGCGCUUUCAGCGUCCGAGUUGUAAUCUCUAGAAGUGUUUUCCGCGUUGGACCGCACAUAAGUCUGUUGGAAUACAGCGGCACAGUGGUGAGACCCCCGUAUACGGUGCGGAUGCCCAAUGCUUUGUGAUACACUUUCGAAGAGUCGAGUUGUUUGGGAAUGCAGCUCAAAUUGGGUGGUAAAUUCCAUCUAAAGCUAAAUAUUGGCGAGAGACCGAUAGCGAACAAGUACCGUGAGGGAAAGAUGAAAAGCACUUUGGAAAGAGAGUUAACAGUACGUGAAAUUGUUGGAAGGGAAACGCUUGAAGUCAGACUUGCUUUUCGGGGUUUACUCCGGUUGGCAGGCCAGCAUCAGUUUUCYGGGGCGGAAAAUCACGGUUAGAAGGUAGCAGUUUCGGCUGUGUUAUAGCUUUCCGUUGGAUACGUCCUGGGGGACUGAGGAACGCAGUGUGCUUUUAGCGAGGGCUUCGGCCCUUUCACACUUAGGAUGCUGGUGGAAUGGCUUUAAACGACCCGUCUUGAAACACG
This 604-nucleotide ribosomal RNA is filed under the name Rhodosporidiobolus fluvialis. RNAcentral describes it as "eukaryotic LSU rRNA". It matches the Rfam family "Eukaryotic large subunit ribosomal RNA", at positions 47 to 663 of the family's 3401-position model. The record is from RNAcentral. Lineage: Eukaryota; Fungi; Basidiomycota; Microbotryomycetes; Sporidiobolales; Sporidiobolaceae.